AGUGAACGCUGGCGGUAGGCCUAACACAUGCAAGUCGAACGGCAGCACAGUAAGAGCUUGCUCUUACGGGUGGCGAGUGGCGGACGGGUGAGGAAUACAUCGGAAUCUACUUUUUCGUGGGGGAUAACGUAGGGAAACUUACGCUAAUACCGCAUACGACCUACGGGUGAAAGCAGGGGAUCUUCGGACCUUGCGCGAUUGAAUGAGCCGAUGUCGGAUUAGCUAGUUGGCGGGGUAAAGGCCCACCAAGGCGACGAUCCGUAGCUGGUCUGAGAGGAUGAUCAGCCACACUGGAACUGAGGCACGGUCCAGACUCCUACGGGAGGCAGCAGUGGGGAAUAUUGGACAAUGGGCGCAAGCCUGAUCCAGCCAUACCGCGUGGGUGAAGAAGACCUUCGGGUUGUAAAGCCCUUUUGUUGGGAAAGAAAAGCAGCAGGUUAAUACCCCGCUGUUCUGACGGUACCCAAAGAAUAAGCACCGGCUAACUUCGUG
Molecule: ribosomal RNA, 492 nt
Filed under: uncultured bacterium
Lineage: Bacteria
Description: partial 16S ribosomal RNA
Rfam family: Bacterial small subunit ribosomal RNA
Source: RNAcentral